RNAcentral lists this ribosomal RNA (464 nucleotides) under uncultured bacterium. RNAcentral's name for it is "bacterial SSU rRNA". It matches the Rfam family "Bacterial small subunit ribosomal RNA", at positions 28 to 507 of the family's 1533-position model. The record is from RNAcentral.
GGUUAACGCUGGCGGCGUGCCUAACACAUGCAAGUCGAACGGUUCUAAGCGCGAGCUUAGGAUAGUGGCGAACGGGUGAGUAAAAGGUAGGAAUCUACCCCUUGGACGGAGAUAGCUACUGGAAACGGUAGGUAAACUUCGAUAAGCCCGAGAGGGGAAAGUGGUGAGACAGCCGAGGGAUGAGCCUACUCUCCAUCAGGUAGUUGGUGAGAUAAAAGCUUACCAAGCCGAUGACGGAUAACCGGUGUGAGAGCAUGAGCGGUCACAAGGGCACUGAGAGACGGGCCCUACUCCUACGGGAGGCAGCAGUGGGGAAUCUUGGACAAUGGGCGAAAGCCUGAUCCAGCGACGCCGCGUGGAGGAAGAAGUCCUUCGGGAUGUAACUUCUGAACUAGCCGAAUAAAAGGCCUGUGGACACACAGGAGAAGAAAGUAGGCUAGGAAAAGUACCCGGCUAACUACGUG